AUGUUGUAUGAAAGGAGAGGUUAACAUUCCCCUUGACAAGAAUGGAAGAGGCCCUUGGCCCUGACAACACACAUACGGAUAAAGCUUUGCCACCUACUUCAUGGCAUCCAACCAUCAUUAAAA
Small nuclear RNA from Dipodomys ordii (Ord's kangaroo rat), 123 nucleotides. The record is from Ensembl. Lineage: Eukaryota; Metazoa; Chordata; Mammalia; Rodentia; Heteromyidae.